RNAcentral lists this long non-coding RNA (304 nucleotides) under Medicago truncatula (barrel medic). Its description in RNAcentral is "long non-coding RNA (MTRU_LNC005015)". The record is from RNAcentral. Lineage: Eukaryota; Viridiplantae; Streptophyta; Magnoliopsida; Fabales; Fabaceae.
AAGGGUAAAUCGAUUUUCAUUUAUGGAGGCGUGAGAAUAGAGUGACGAAGAUGAAAGUGUGAGCAAGAAAUUAACCGUUUACAAUUGCUUACCUGAAAAAUGUGAUUAUAGGAAAGUCAUUCAUCGAAAAUCCAAUUACAUUAGCAGGCGUAUUCUCUUUUCUUCUCAGAAACUUUGAGAUCUGAUUUGAAUAGUCAAUUGAUAGGAAUUAAGAUUGAAGAUGAUGCUGAAAAGGGAAAACCCAGAAUUGGAAGACCCAUUGAUGAAGAGAAAAGAGAGAGAGAAUAUCAACGAUUCUGAUUUG